UACGUAGGGUGCAAGCGUUGUCCGGAAUUAUUGGGCGUAAAGAGCUCGUAGGCGGUUUGUUGCGUCGGCUGUGAAAUCCCGAGGCUCAACCUCGGGUCUGCAGUCGAUACGAGCAAACUAGAGUGUUGCAGGGGAGACUGGAAUUCCUGGUGUAGCGGUGAAAUGCGUAGAUAUCAGGAGGAACACCUGUGGUGUAGACGGCUCUCUGGACCGCAACUGACGCUGAGACACGAAAGCGUGGGUAGCAAACAGG
RNAcentral lists this ribosomal RNA (253 nucleotides) under uncultured bacterium. RNAcentral describes it as "partial 16S ribosomal RNA". It matches the Rfam family "Bacterial small subunit ribosomal RNA", at positions 524 to 776 of the family's 1533-position model. The record is from RNAcentral.